Molecule: ribosomal RNA, 465 nt
Filed under: Vreelandella stevensii
Lineage: Bacteria; Pseudomonadati; Pseudomonadota; Gammaproteobacteria; Oceanospirillales; Halomonadaceae
Description: partial 16S ribosomal RNA
Rfam family: Bacterial small subunit ribosomal RNA
Source: RNAcentral
CCUACGGGUGGCAGCAGUGGGGAAUAUUGGACAAUGGGGGGAACCCUGAUCCAGCCAUGCCGCGUGUGUGAAGAAGGCCCGCGGGUUGUAAAGCACUUUCAGCGAGGAAGAACGCCUGGUGGUUAAUACCCAUCAGGAAAGACAUCACUCACAGAAGAAGCACCGGCUAACUCCGUGCCAGCAGCCGCGGUAAUACGGAGGGUGCGAGCGUUAAUCGGAAUUACUGGGCGUAAAGCGCGCGUAGGUGGCUUGAUAAGCCGGUUGUGAAAGCCCCGGGCUCAACCUGGGAACGGCAUCCGGAACUGUCAAGCUAGAGUGCAGGAGAGGAAGGUAGAAUUCCCGGUGUAGCGGUGAAAUGCGUAGAGAUCGGGAGGAAUACCAGUGGCGAAGGCGGCCUUCUGGACUGACACUGACACUGAGGUGCGAAAGCGUGGGUAGCAAACAGGAUUAGAUACCCUGGUAGUC